AAAUAGUCGGUCUGAAGAGUGAAGACACUGCUGCACUGGAUCUGGAUGGCUAGCUGCAUGCUGGAGGCUGCCGGCUGGAACUACUUUAAAGAUCAUCAUUUUGUCAAGGAAAGACAUGGGCAGAAGUCUGCAAAUAAGUACUUCCAGACUUGGACUUGGACUCGGAGUGAAUCAGUACUUUGGAUAUAUGCUACCUCUGUGUGUGUUUUUUUUUUAUUCCACAGAAAGUUUGACAUGGAAUUGAGGGGGGGGGGGGAGUGCAAUAUAGUUUUAAUCCACACUUUUGUGAAAAAUGAGUUACAUCCAUUUCCAUCAGCUUUCUAGAUUGUUCUUCAUCUUCUGACAAUUAAAAAAAAAGGAAAUCGACUGAUUAAUAGGGAAAUGAAUAAAUAUUCUUCUCCUGAAAACAAGCAAUUAUCUGAACACAA
Molecule: long non-coding RNA, 428 nt
Organism: Strongylocentrotus purpuratus (purple sea urchin)
Lineage: Eukaryota; Metazoa; Echinodermata; Echinoidea; Camarodonta; Strongylocentrotidae
Exons: 2
Source: RefSeq, a predicted model, not a curated record